RNAcentral lists this ribosomal RNA (312 nucleotides) under Triticum aestivum (bread wheat). RNAcentral's name for it is "partial small subunit ribosomal RNA". Lineage: Eukaryota; Viridiplantae; Streptophyta; Magnoliopsida; Poales; Poaceae. The record is from RNAcentral.
AUGCGAUGCAUUUCUCAAUACUCAGCAAAGUCGGACACAAUCAGCUUCGGUGUUUUGGUUUUGCAGAUCGUCACAGGAAGAAGAAACAAUGGCUCCUGCAACUCCGAGCAAUAUGUCUAUCUCGUAAAUCUUAACAGACCUGAAGAUAGACCGAUGAUGUCGUCGGUGAAUGUCAUGCUUAGCAGCCAGAGUGUUUGCCUUCCUUCUGUUUCCAUGCCAGCCUUCUCUGAUGGAUUGCGUGGAUGUAGUGAUAAUGAUUCAAAAGUGGCGUCCUCAAAUGGAAUGACCAUCACAAAGCUCGAGCCAAGAUGA